Molecule: non-coding RNA, 243 nt
Organism: Cinara cedri
Lineage: Eukaryota; Metazoa; Arthropoda; Insecta; Hemiptera; Aphididae
Source: the annotation of a GenBank genome assembly
UAAUGAUCUUUGAUAUUAUUGUAGUUUAUACAUUCGAUUACGAUGGACUUCGUAUAUACACAUCUGUUUGGCAUUGGCAUGAUUGAGAAUGUUUUAAGGGGGGGGGGGGAUAUCGAAAUAAAUGUUCAUGGCAAUCUCGUCGGAAGUUAACCCCACCCCCUUUAAUAUCUCAUCAUCAGGGCUCGGAAGUUUUCUAAAAAAUGGCACGGCAGUGUUUUUAAAUUGCAACGUCCUAAUCAUGUU